GGGCCUUUAGCUCAGCUGGUUAGAGCACCUGACUCAUAAUCAGGUGGUCGCUGGUUCAAGCCCAGCAAGGCCCA
This 74-nucleotide transfer RNA is filed under the name Bacteroidales bacterium. RNAcentral's name for it is "tRNA-Ile". It matches the Rfam family "tRNA". From Rfam's summary of the family: Transfer RNA (tRNA) molecules are approximately 80 nucleotides in length. Their secondary structure includes four short double-helical elements and three loops (D, anti-codon, and T loops). The record is from RNAcentral. Lineage: Bacteria; Pseudomonadati; Bacteroidota; Bacteroidia; Bacteroidales.